CCAUAUUGAACCCACCGCACAUAAACAUUUCAUUAAUUUCAUCUUAUAAAUACACUUUUUCUUAUCUUGGUCCCUGAUGUUUCUGUUCUGCAGUUGUCCAUUUGUCAGCUGCCUGGGUUUAAUUUAUUCAUUAUCUUCCAUCCUCUCUGCGCGGAGGCUGCUGAUUCUUCUGCCCUGACUACAGUAAUGGGCACAUUUUUUCUCUGGACAGUAGUUUGCUUUAAAUUAAUAAGGACUGUGAUUCCUCUUCACUGUUUCACGUGCAGUGAUGUAUGAACUGAAAACAGGGCACAGUCAAAACAGAAAGACUGUGCAGAAAGAGCUUAUUUCCUUCUCAUUGUUUAGUUACAAAUCAGGCCAAAGGUGAAGCUGGCGUUCAUAAUAAAAGCCGUUAACUAAAAUCAAACCUAUAUUUAUUCUUCUAUUCUUGUUUAAACAGCAGUUUGUUGCCUUCACAUCCUGCUUCUCACCUGUUCCCCUCUCAGACCCGUUCAUCCAGACUUUUUCCACCGGCCUGCCUUCCUGCCAGUUUCCCACCUCCUGCCUGGUUCUGGCCUCUGUGUUCACCCGCCUCCUGCCAGGUCCGUUUCCAGCCGCUAACUUCACCCGUCCGUCCUUUCCUGCCUGCGCCUGCAAGGUAGCUGGUGGAGACGCGUCCUCGUGUGCGGAGCUCUGGAACCUGGAGCAGCUGAGGUGGAUGCGCUGCAGGACUGAAGCACAAACUCAGGGACACCCGGAUCAGUGCAGCCUCACGGCCCGUCGCGCUGAUAAGUGGGAGAACAGCAGGACUCCAGGAAUUCCUCUCUGCAUUAAUGGCCUCACGCUCCCACGUUGGACGUUUCCUUUAUGGUUUCUCUUUGGGAACGUUGAUCCCGUCCUGGCGCUGAAACAGAACCAGACUGGUCACAGACGGACUCCACGCCGUCUGCAUGAUUCAUGAAGUGUUUCAUUCCAGACUAAGAUUAAGAAAUCAUGGAGAAUGUCAGGCAGAAGCCUCCUGUCAGCGGCGGUGAUUGAACCCAAGUGAGCGCGUCCGGUCCAACCGCGCUCACUGAGAGCAGCGCCCUCCUCUCGAUCCUGGUGCUGUUCAGCAAACAAACACGGCUCCGCUGUAACGGCUCCACUUCCUGUCUGCCUCACUCUUCUCUUCUCUCACUAAUUUUCUUCCAUUGUUGCCUGGAAAUUAAAAUAUGCAAAGCAGGCCUGCGGUGACGGCGCCACCGGCAUGUGCCGCCAUCGCACACGGUGAGAAUAUAAUUCGUCACCGUGCUCUGGCUAAUUAGCUUGAUUUGAUUGUUAAUGCACUGCCAAUUAGAGGUGGCAGGCG
This 1327-nucleotide long non-coding RNA is filed under the name Betta splendens (Siamese fighting fish). Its description in RNAcentral is "lncRNA (ENSBSLG00000014464.1)". The record is from RNAcentral. Lineage: Eukaryota; Metazoa; Chordata; Actinopteri; Anabantiformes; Osphronemidae.